Molecule: unclassified non-coding RNA, 218 nt
Filed under: uncultured Thelephoraceae
Lineage: Eukaryota; Fungi; Basidiomycota; Agaricomycetes; Thelephorales; Thelephoraceae
Description: sequence contains ITS2
Source: RNAcentral
ACACCUCAACUCUCAUGGCUUGCCGUGAUGAGCUUGGACUUUGGGGGUCUUGCCGGCCUGUGGUCGGCUCCUCUCAAAUGAAUCAGCUUGCCAGCGUUUGGUGGCAUCACAGGUGUGAUAACUAUCUACGCUUGUGGUUUUCCACCAGGUAACCUUCGGUGAUGGAGGUUCGCUGGGGCUCAUAAACGUCUCUCCUCGGUGAGGACAGCUCUUUGAAC